This 253-nucleotide ribosomal RNA is filed under the name uncultured bacterium. RNAcentral describes it as "partial 16S ribosomal RNA". It matches the Rfam family "Bacterial small subunit ribosomal RNA", at positions 524 to 776 of the family's 1533-position model. The record is from RNAcentral.
UACGGGGGGGGCAAGCGUUGUUCGGAAUUACUGGGCGUAAAGGGCGCGUAGGCGGCCUUCUAAGUCGAACGUGAAAUCCCUGGGCUCAACCCAGGAACUGCGUCCGAUACUGGUUGGCUUGAAUCCGGGAGAGGGACGUGGAAUUCCAGGUGUAGCGGUGAAAUGCGUAGAUAUCUGGAGGAACACCGGUGGCGAAGGCGACGUCCUGGACCGGUAUUGACGCUGAGGCGCGAAAGCCAGGGGAGCAAACGGG